Molecule: ribosomal RNA, 397 nt
Filed under: uncultured bacterium
Lineage: Bacteria
Description: partial 16S ribosomal RNA
Rfam family: Bacterial small subunit ribosomal RNA
Source: RNAcentral
AAUAUUGCACAAUGGAGGGAACUCUGAUGCAGCGACGCCGCGUGAACGACGAAGGCCUUCGGGUCGUAAAGUUCUGUCCUUGGGGAAGAAAAAUGACGGUACCCAAGGAGGAAGCCCCGGCUAACUACGUGCCAGCAGCCGCGGUAAUACGUAGGGGGCUAGCGUUGUCCGGAAUUAUUGGGCGUAAAGGGUUCGCAGGCGGCCUAAAAAGUCAGAUGUAAAAGGUCACGGCUCAACCGUGGUAAGCAUAUGAAACUUUUAGGCUUGAGUUAAGGAGAAGAAAGUGGAAUUCCUAGUGUAGCGGUGAAAUGCGUAGAUAUUAGGAGGAAUACCAGUGGCGAAGGCGACUUUCUGGACUUAUACUGACGCUGAGGAACGAAAGCGUGGGGAGCAAACA